AAGUCGUAACAAGGUAACCGUAGGUGAACCUGCGGUUGGAUCAUUAAAAAUUGCAGCCAGUCUCUCACAGCCAGGUUUCGGGUCGUCUGAUCCAAAACCGCGUGCAGUGAAUGCGGCACCACCUUUUGUGAACCGUUCUGUCUUUGGUGGUGGGGUGGGAAGCCUUUUGGCGUCUCGCCUGUCAGCUCCGAUGUGAGCCGUGGGCAAGCCACCGAACUUUUUGCUUAAACCUUUGUCUUCUAUACUUUUGUCUGACAUUUUAUUUGUAUUAAUGUACAAACAACUUUUGGCAACGGAUCUCUUGGGUCUC
RNAcentral lists this unclassified non-coding RNA (310 nucleotides) under Spizellomyces sp. Its description in RNAcentral is "partial internal transcribed spacer region". The stretch from base 1 to 46 matches the Rfam family "Eukaryotic small subunit ribosomal RNA", at positions 1786 to 1831 of the family's 1831-position model. The record is from RNAcentral. RNAcentral also lists the same sequence under 1 other name. Lineage: Eukaryota; Fungi; Chytridiomycota; Chytridiomycetes; Spizellomycetales; Spizellomycetaceae.